Molecule: ribosomal RNA, 253 nt
Filed under: uncultured bacterium
Lineage: Bacteria
Description: partial 16S ribosomal RNA
Rfam family: Bacterial small subunit ribosomal RNA
Source: RNAcentral
UACAGAGGUGGCAAGCGUUGUUCGGAAUUACUGGGCGUAAAGGGCGCGUAGGCGGCCUUCUAAGUCAGACGUGAAAUCCCCCGGCUUAACCUGGGAACUGCGUCUGAUACUGGAAGGCUUGAGUAUGGGAGAGGGAUGUAGAAUUCCAGGUGUAGCGGUGAAAUGCGUAGAUAUCAGGAAGAACACCCGUGGCUAAGGCGGCUCUCUAGUACGGUACUGACGCUGAGACGCGAAAGCGUGGGGAGCGAACAGG